CGUGGUACGAGGUGGAGACACCGAGGACCCGCAAGGGAGCGUGCACAGGUGCUGCACGGCUGUCGUCAGCUCGUGCCGUGAGGUGUUGGGUUAAGUCCCGCAACGAGCGCAACCCUCGCCGCCAGUUACGAUGUCUGGCGGGACCGCCGGGUCCAACCCGGAGGAAGGUGGGGAUGACGUCAAGUCAGCAUGGCCCUUACGCCUGGGGCUACACACACGCUACAAUGGCCGGCACAAGGGGAUGAGAAGGGGCGACCCGGAGCGAAACCCGCCAAAGCCGGUCCCAGUUGGGAUGGCAGGCUGCAACUCGCCUGCUGAGCGCGGAGUUGCUAGUUACCGCAGGUCAGCACACUGCGGUGAUACGUUCCC
RNAcentral lists this ribosomal RNA (369 nucleotides) under uncultured bacterium. RNAcentral's name for it is "bacterial SSU rRNA". It matches the Rfam family "Bacterial small subunit ribosomal RNA", at positions 989 to 1375 of the family's 1533-position model. The record is from RNAcentral.